Molecule: ribosomal RNA, 269 nt
Filed under: uncultured bacterium
Lineage: Bacteria
Description: partial 16S ribosomal RNA
Rfam family: Bacterial small subunit ribosomal RNA
Source: RNAcentral
GUCCACGCUGUAAACGAUGACGACUAGGUGUGGGGGGGUUCAGUCCCUUCCGUGCCGCAGCUAACGCAUUAAGUCGUCCGCCUGGGGAGUACGGCCGCAAGGUUGAAACUCAAAGGAAUUGACGGGGGCCCGCACAAGCGGUGGAGCAUGUGGUUCAAUUCGAUGCUGAGCGAAGAACCUUACCUGGGCUUGACAUGCAGGAAGUAGGAACCGGAAACGGGGACGACCUGUUAAAUCAGGAGCUUGCACAGGUGGUGCAUGGCUGUCGU